RNAcentral lists this ribosomal RNA (253 nucleotides) under uncultured bacterium. RNAcentral describes it as "partial 16S ribosomal RNA". It matches the Rfam family "Bacterial small subunit ribosomal RNA", at positions 524 to 776 of the family's 1533-position model. The record is from RNAcentral.
UACGUAGGGUCCGAGCGUUGUCCGGAAUUAUUGGGCGUAAAGGGUUCGUAGGCGGUCUGUUGCGUCGGGAGUGAAAACUUACAGCUUAACUGUGAGCGUGCUUUCGAUACGGGCAGACUUGAGGCAUUCAGGGGAGAACGGAAUUCCUGGUGUAGCGGUGAAAUGCGCAGAUAUCAGGAGGAACACCGGUGGCGAAGGCGGUUCUCUGGGCCUUACCUAACGCUGAGGAGCGAAAGCAUGGGGAGCAAACAGG